RNAcentral lists this ribosomal RNA (430 nucleotides) under Actinomycetes bacterium. RNAcentral's name for it is "Actinobacteria bacterium partial 16S ribosomal RNA". It matches the Rfam family "Bacterial small subunit ribosomal RNA", at positions 355 to 776 of the family's 1533-position model. The record is from RNAcentral. Lineage: Bacteria; Bacillati; Actinomycetota; Actinomycetes.
UGGGGAAUAUUGGACAAUGGGCGAAAGCCUGAUCCAGCCAUGCCGCGUGUGUGAAGAAGGCCUUUUGGUUGUAAAGCACUUUAAGUGAGGAGGAGGCUACUUAGAUUAAUACUCUAGGAUAGUGGACGUUACUCGCAGAAUAAGCACCGGCUAACUCUGUGCCAGCAGCCGCGGUAAUACAGAGGGUGCGAGCGUUAAUCGGAUUUACUGGGCGUAAAGCGUGCGUAGGCGGCUUUUUAAGUCGGAUGUGAAAUCCCUGAGCUUAACUUAGGAAUUGCAUUCGAUACUGGGAAGCUAGAGUAUGGGAGAGGAUGGUAGAAUUCCAGGUGUAGCGGUGAAAUGCGUAGAGAUCUGGAGGAAUACCGAUGGCGAAGGCAGCCAUCUGGCCUAAUACUGACGCUGAGGUACGAAAGCAUGGGGAGCAAACAGG